This 377-nucleotide ribosomal RNA is filed under the name uncultured bacterium. Its description in RNAcentral is "bacterial SSU rRNA". It matches the Rfam family "Bacterial small subunit ribosomal RNA", at positions 523 to 898 of the family's 1533-position model. The record is from RNAcentral.
AUACGGAGGGUGCGAGCGUUAUUCGGAAUUACUGGGCGUAAAGCGCGUGUAGGCGGCCAACCAAGUCUGAUGUGAAAGCCCUGGGCUUAACCUGGGAAGUGCAUUGGAAACUGGCUGGCUUGAGUACUGGAGAGGAAGGGGGAAUUCCCGGUGUAGAGGUGAAAUCCGUAGAGAUCGGGAGGAAUACCAGUGGCGAAGGCGCCCUUCUGGACGGUUACUGACGCUGAGACGCGAAAGCGUGGGGAGCAAACAGGAUUAGAUACCCUGGUAGUCCACGCUGUAAACGAUGAGCACUAGGUGUAGCGGGUACUCAUUCCUGCUGUGCCGUAGCUAACGCGUUAAGUGCUCCGCCUGGGGAUUACGGUCGCAAGACUAAA